AAGUGUGUACUUCAAAUGGUGAGUAAUGUCUCUAUUUAUAGUGUUGAAAUAUCACUCCCAAAGAUAACCAAAUUAAUAGAUACAUAUUUGUCCAUAAUGGAUCAUAUCACCUUGAAAAUAUACAUACAUGAAUACAAGUAAAUCAUGAAUAUCCAAUGGACAAUCCACUUAAUUAGUUCAAUGGAUUUGUAACACUUCCCCUUGGAUGUCCAUAGAUAAUGUGUCUCGUUAAAACCUUAUUUAAAAAAAACCUGUGGAAAAAAAUUUCUAGUUAAGGAAAAAGAGUACACAUCUUUUGAUACGCACUAUUUGUUGCCUCAUUAAAAACCUUGUGAGAAAACCCAGUGGGAAAAAACCUCGGUCAAGGAAAAAAAAGUGCAACACGUAUUAUACUCCCCUUGAUUAAAACAUCACUUAAUUUCUUGUGAUGAUGUCUCCAAUCUUCGUACAUUGUGGUUGGUAUAUUAUUUUUCAAAGAAAAACCACAACCCUUAUAGGCAAGAACAAUUUCUUUCUUUUGCCCUUUCGGUAGUUCACAAUAAACAUACCAUAGUGACGUAUAAAACGUACAAUACAAUUAGCCAUUUCUGCCAAAUACAAUUUAUUUCCUCUCAAAUCUCCCGUAGAGAUGAGAAGUGACAUAUAUCAUUUUUUCUCAAACCUUCCAUAAGGUGAGUUGUGGCAUAUAUCCAACCUAUAAUGAUUUUAUCACAUCUUGAUCCAUCUCUUAUAAAAUGGUCCAGCAUUCACGAUACUCAUCACAAGUCACAUUCUCUUGAAGGAAUGGACUAAUUAUUUGUAUGUGCUUCAUAAAUUUGCAUUAUAAGCACAUUGUCAUGGCUUUAAAAUUCAUCAUAUUUCCAUGACACACCUCAACAUCACUUUGAAAGAUCAAGUGUACCAUCACUUUAUCUUCUUGUAUCAUGAUAAAGGAUUUAUAAACUUGUCAAAUUAUUAGGUUGACAACAUUCACAAGUCUAAUGACCUUUCAUACAAUUUUGAUAAUAAAAAUUGUCUUCACAUUUUGAAGGACUAUUUGAAGAACUCAUAGUGUUCUUCCUUUUAUCAUUACUACAAUGAUAACUACUAUAAUUUUGUCCCUCCACGCCCUUAUUCAUAUCAUUAAUUAUUUGUCAUCUUUCAGACUAAUCAUUCACUCCUACCAUAUUCAUAUGAUUGGAUGGAGCAAGUCAACAGACAGAUUUCAGAGUUAUCACAUGUUGCUACCACAUUCUUUUCAAGGAAUGGAGCAAAUUUAAUAUGAUGAAUUUCAAGACAUUUCAUCAAAAAUAUAUUAUUUUUCUUAGUUAUCAUUUUAUCAUCGCUAUGGUGCAUUGACUCAAACUCAAUGUCUUACCCAUAUAAGGCGUGUUACGCCAUAAUUCUAUGGGACUUGAACCAAAUCACGGUGCAUCAAAACUCUAAUUGAUGUCUUACAUCUUAUCCUCAAAUAUUUUUCAUUACGGUGCAUCCGGACUUUAACAUGAUGUCUUACCCUUUUGGUGCAAUGAAACUUGAAUCCGUCGUCUUACCCUUAACCAACGGUAUAAUAACGAAGUACAACAUGAUUUAUUCUUUGAGUCUUUCACAACAAUCAAAAUAAUAUUCAAACUCAUGCUAUUAAAAUUUUAUACCUUCUUCUAUUUAAGAAGUUUUGUAUAGCAUGUCAUAUUCAACCAAUAGUAGUAUAUGUCUUCGGUUCCUGAUAAUUGUUAGUGACUGAAUACUAUUUUAUUCUAAAUCAUAAAAUAUUUUAGAAAAUACAUACUUGAUUUUAUGCAUAUAAUACUUUGAUAUUCAUAACGAGAUCAACCAAAAUAUAAGCUAAAGAAAAACACGAACUCACUCUCAAUUAGACAGAGACUCGUGCUGAUAACGUGCUAUAAAAUUAAGCUCAUAAAAAUAUAAUCAUAAAGAAAAUAAGACAAGAGAAGUAGGAUUUUUCUUCUUAUUCAAUUGUGUACUUCAAAAGGUGAGUGAUGUCUCUAUUUAUAGUGUUGAGAUAUCACUCCCAAAGAUCACGAAAUUAAUAGAUACAUCACCUUGGAAAUAUACAUACAUGAAUACAAAUAAUUCAUGAAUAUCCGAUGGACAAUCCACUUAAUUAGUUCAAUGGAUUUGUAGCAAAAUGCAUAUAAUUAAUUAAAGGAGGCAAAUUUUAAAACGAAGCAAACUCUUGGUUAUAAAAGCGAGUGUCACAGCACUAGUUUAUAUAUAGUACCAACCUUCUCUUCCUUGUAACUUACCUUUUAGCAAUGGCGGAAAUAGUACAUGAUUUUUUCCCAUUGAUGAGAGUUUACAAAGAUGGUCGAAUCGAGAGGCUGGCCGGCGAAGGUUUUGUCCCACCUGAAUCUGAUCCUGAAACCGGAGUACAAAUCAAGGACGUUCAAAUUGAUCCACAAAUUAACCUAUCAGCAAGACUUUACCUGCCCAAAAAUGUCGACCCGGUUCAGAAAAUUCCCCUUUUCGUCUACUUUCACGGCGGCGGCUUUGUUAUCGAAUCUGCUUUUUCUCCUACCUAUCACAAAUAUCUUAGCCUGGUAGCAGCUGAAGCAAAAGUCGCGAUCGUCUCUGUUAACUACAGGUUAGCUCCUGAGUACCCUUUACCCAUAGCUUAUGAAGAUUCAUGGCUAGCUCUCAAAUGGGUCACUUCACAUGCCAAUGGUGAUGGUCGUGAACCAUGGCUAAAAGACUAUGCCGAUUUCAAUCGUGUCUUUUUAGGCGGAGAUAGCGCGGGUGGUAACAUCGCACACCAUAUAGGAAUUCGAUUAGGGUUGGAAAAGUUUGAGGGUGUGAAAAUUGAUGGGAUUUUCCUUGCGUGUCCAUAUUUCUGGGGAAAGGAUCGUAUUGAGGGUGAGGGAGAAAACUUGCUUGCCAAGGAUUUCGUUGAGGACCUUGUGUUGAUUGGUAAUCCCAAUAGCACGGGGUUAGAUAAGGAUCCUAUUGACUUAGGUUCCAAGGAUCUCUUUGAGAAGCUAUGGUUGUUUGUGAAUCCCACCAGCUCUGGAUUAGAUGAUCCGUUGAUUAACCCGGAAAAGGAUCCGAAAUUGUCUGGGUUAGGGUGUGAUAAAUUAGUUGUGUAUGUGGCCGGAAAAGAUCCGUUGAGAUUCAGGGGAUUUUACUACAAGGAGGUGUUGGAGAAGAGUGGGUGGCCGGGGACGGUGGAGGUUGUGGAAGUUAAAGGCAAGGGACAUGUGUUUCACCUCUUUGUUCCUGAAGCUGAAGAAGCCAUAGCCAUGUUGAAAAAAUUGGCCUCUUUCCUUAAUCAGUCAUAGGACCCAGUCAUUUAUAAUCUUGUUUGUCAUGGAAAUUCAACUAUAUAAUAAGGCAUCAUGUGCUUAGCAAAUGAAUUAAGUACUAUUUUUAAUUAGACGUAAUUGUGUUUUUGUUGCUUAAAACCUUAAAAGUGAUUAAUAAAAUAUCUUAAAAGUCUUGUGAAAGAAGUCUUCAUUACUAACAGGGACGUGCAUAAUUGUGAUCGCUAUUGUGCAUAAUUAUUAAGUUACACAAUAAUAAUAACUUUAUUCUGCCUCGUUUAAUAUUUUUUCAAACAUUUGC
This 3558-nucleotide long non-coding RNA is filed under the name Solanum lycopersicum (tomato). RNAcentral's name for it is "long non-coding RNA (SLYC_LNC001109)". The record is from RNAcentral. Lineage: Eukaryota; Viridiplantae; Streptophyta; Magnoliopsida; Solanales; Solanaceae.